AUUUAAUGAGCUUUUAAUGGAAUGCAAUGCUCAGAGUAGUAAAUUAUUUGUUAGUUGACGAUGCAAUCAGCAUGCUGAUUAAGGUUGCUUGGUUUUUUACUAAACAUUAACUGAAUGAAAACGGGUAGUCCUUGUUCUGCUUGGGGGGCUUUAAGGAAGCAAAUGGACUUUCAGAACAGAGAUUGUCAAUAAAGGCUCUUUACUAUUUUAGCCAAAGAACAACUCUGUCAACACUUUCUCUAAUACACUUCAAGCAACAAGAACAAAUUGUAUCAUAUCCUGUUUCAAGUCACAGAGGAACAAGGAAUGCAGCCUCCCUCUAGCCCACCAUUUUGGAUCUGCUUCACUUAAUUCUUUUAGAAUGAAGUAGGAAUUAAGUGGAUCAAGGCAUAAGGGAGAAACAGAAGCUUGCACUAACUGAAAAUUAGUGUCUCACAAUGACAAAUGCCAUGGGGUCUUUUUGAGACUGCUUUUGGUGAUGGUGAAUCACCAUCACUCUCAGAAUCAAGGGUCUGAAGCAGCUAACGCCAGAGUUAAUCUUAUGAAGGUAUUGCCUGUAUGACUUAGGCAAAUGGAUAGGUUUCCUU
Molecule: long non-coding RNA, 587 nt
Filed under: Ictidomys tridecemlineatus (thirteen-lined ground squirrel)
Lineage: Eukaryota; Metazoa; Chordata; Mammalia; Rodentia; Sciuridae
Description: lncRNA (ENSSTOG00000030137.1)
Source: RNAcentral